GAAAUGCGAUAAGUAGUGUGAAUUGCAGAAUUCAGUGAAUCAUCGAAUCUUUGAACGCGCAUUGCGCCCUAUGGUAUUCCGUAGGGCAUGCCUGUUCGAGCGUCAUUUACACCUUCAAGCCUUGCUUGGUGUUGGGUGACUGUGGCCCCUUUGGGGCCACUCGCCUUAAAGUCAUUGGCGGCCGGUUCGUUGGCUUUGUAGCGCAGCACAAUUGCGUCCUCGAAGCCGCUGGACCAGCUCCCAGAAGCUAAUUUUAAAUGUUUGACCUCGAAUCAGGUAGGGAUACCCGCUGAACUUAAGC
RNAcentral lists this unclassified non-coding RNA (301 nucleotides) under plant metagenome. RNAcentral's name for it is "partial contains 5.8S ribosomal RNA, internal transcribed spacer 2, and large subunit ribosomal RNA". The stretch from base 1 to 105 matches the Rfam family "5.8S ribosomal RNA", at positions 50 to 154 of the family's 154-position model. The record is from RNAcentral.